AUGUACCACAACAUACGGUCAUUUGGCAAACAAGAUGGUUUGGAUCGUAGUCAUCUGGAGCUCUACUUCUAUGAUGAUGAUCCCAGUUUAGAGCAUAGGUAUCGCAGUUGUCGCAAAGAGCAGUGCCAGAAAGACAAAGAAGUAAUCACACAACUGGUCGACAUACUUCGUGGCAACCCAUACUCUGAACACCUUCGUAGUAUGGGGCAUGUUGAUGAUGUGGAUGACUAUCACAUAACACUUAACCUUGACCAAAGGAUGGAUCAGAGAAGAUAUAAUGCGCCGACCACUUCAGAAGUAGCAGCUGUGUGGGUGGAGGGCAGUGAACGUCGAAGACAGUUCGGUAAUAGUGUCAUCCUGCAUGGGAAGAAUAGAGAUAUAUAA
RNAcentral lists this ribosomal RNA (384 nucleotides) under Triticum aestivum (bread wheat). Its description in RNAcentral is "partial small subunit ribosomal RNA". Lineage: Eukaryota; Viridiplantae; Streptophyta; Magnoliopsida; Poales; Poaceae. The record is from RNAcentral.